AAACGCGCGGCAUUUUGGAGCUGCUGUUCGAGAGAAUUGCUGCUUUAAAAAGAAAAACGAGCGGAAAAGGCGUCUAUUUAAAGUGGUUUUGUUCUUUGAGGAGUCUUUUUUUUCCGGAUUGUCCAGCGUUUGGUGAGAUUUUCUACAUUGCUGAACGUGACUUGGCGAGUGAUUUUGUCUAGUGACGAUGAGUUUGAUGAUUGGUCCGGCAGCAGGCCUACACCUCCAUCCACCCUCGGAUCUUCACCUCCACCACCUCCAUCCACGCUCAGGGUUACGCAGACACCUCCGCCGCCUCCAUCCACCUUUGAGGGAUUGUAGCUUUUGAAGAUGACAACAAACUAUCUCAAAAUUUCUUCAACAUGUACUCAUGGACUGUAUAUUACAGAUUUUGAAAAUGAGGCUUGAAGAGAAACUCCUUGACAAGCCACAUCACCCGUAAAGAUGUUGAGAAGGUCGUGUCUAAGUGGCUCAUAGGUGCUCGGGAUCGGGGGGGUAAUAGACAGGCCCUACAGGCAACCCCGCAAUGAAGACUUCAGGCUUCAGCCUCACUUGAGGUGGACAGUAACCAAUUCUGUCUGUGACACUUUGUGUUGACCUUGUAGAGACAUUACAGGACAUUCAUGUCUCUCAUGUUCUCAGCCUUUGAAAAUGAGCAAUACCUCACAUGGACCACAGUUUGCACAGAGGGAGUAAAGAGCAAGAUUGGAAGAUUCAAGUAGGAUAAACAGAACGUAUACAGUGGCUUGCAAAAGUAUUCACACCCUUUGGUAUUUCACAAAUUUUAAUUUGUUUAUGGCAUUUCAAAUACAAAAUGUAAAUUAGGCUUAAAUUAUUUUCCUUAGACUCAAACUGAAAGUAAAUCUCUACAACUUGACAUAAUUAAAAAUAUAAAAGCCACGAUGAUGGGUUGCAUAAGUAAUCAGCCCCUUCGGUCUAAUACUUGUAAAUCAUUUUAAUUGCCAGUGUUUUCAGACAAGUCGGAGAGAUGCAUGAACUUUAGCAAGUAUGUGUUCUGUUUUUCCUACUUGAAUCGUCCAAUCUUGCUCUUUAUUCCCACGCAAAACAAACGUAAUUUUUGUUGCACAUCAAAUGUUUCUUCUGAAAAAUGAACAUGUUCAAAUGUUACUGUCCCUGUUGGUUGUUUAUUAUUAAAUAGUGUAUGCAGAUGAAAUGUUUUCAAAAGUAUUUGUUUUUUUUCCAUCUGUCUGUGAACAAGAUUACAAGAGCAUAACAGGCCAUAACUUUGGAACUGUGAUCAUAGGACCUUCCAACUUGGCCCAUAUUGCUCCUCAUAGGUGUUUCAUGUAUGACAAGUAUUGUGGGAGAUUUAAGUGCAUUUGGCUCAAAUUUGACUAAAAAUUAAACCUUUUCAAAUUCCACUGCUUGGAGAUGCCUUGGCUUAAUCAGAAUACCAAUAUUGACUAAGUUAAUAGUCCAUUUGUUAUAAUGUAAUUGAUGUUUCCAUCUCAGUAUAACAUUUAUCAACAUUAAUUUGUAAUUUAAGUGGAAACUCUAAAUGACCUUGACCUGGUAUUUGUAAAUGAGCUUGUAGCAAACACCCCAUAAUGUGUGUUUAACAAAAGGUCAAUAUAAUUUUGUACUGCACCAGUAUGACAUUGAAAAAUGUGACUACUCUGUUGGCAGAGGUUGUUGCGUUCUCUGAGCACAGUCCUAGCUUGUUUAAAGAACUGUAUGUGACAAAAAUGGAUUUGUUAAGCCCAUAAUUAUAAUAGUUACCCUUAUGGGUGCAAUUGGGGGCCCAUAAUCAGCCUGCAUGGGGCCCACCUAACGUGUGCUCCAGAUGGGAGAAACCUGGGUUGCCCAUGCAGGUUUUAGGUAGGGCCCAUGGGAAGCCCACGCCAGCCCACUAUUCUGAGGAAUUGUCAUUCAUAAUUCAACAGGGAAGAACAGAACUUCAAACAAAACCAAAUUCACCACUUUGAAUUUUAUUGUUUUCCAAACACAGUAUGUGUUUUCAACAAAAAUCAUAAUUUUGUGAAGAACUGAGAACAGUGUUUAAAUUAAUCAACCUAAUAUGAAUCCAAAUGAAAAACCUUUGCAUGAAUUUCACGUUAAUGAAAUCCAUUUUUUACUAAAUUUUAUUAUUUCAUAUAUCCACAAGGAUAUACAGUGUUUAGAAGAAUCAAACAAAACCAACAGAAUUAAAAUAUAUCAGAAACAAAGAGAAAAAAAGUGUUUUGGUGAAUUUCACUAUUUUCACCAUAAAAAAUUUCUACAAUUUACAAAACAAUUCAAAAGUUCAAUAUUGUGUGAGGAAGGAUUGUAAAUCAGUGUUUAGAUGAAACAAACAAAAACAAUCAUCAAAAUCCAUCAAGAAAUGAAAAAAAAAAUUUGGGCGAAUUUCAGUUUUCACCCUAAAAAGUCCAUAUUUUCCUAAAAACGUACAAUUCCAACAUUAAUACAUUAUUACUCUCAGAGAAACAGAUAUGGCAUCAGUUCAGUGCCAAAACCACAAAAAAAAAAAAAAGCGUUCAGGUGUAUUAUAUUAUUUCACACACGUAGAUAACUGCGUGUGCAAAGAUGUCAUGCUAAAAACAGAAAGUAUCCCAAUGAAUUUUCAAUGUAGCUCCCUUCAUCCAACUGUAUGUUUUCUGUUUUUGUCUUUUUACUUUUUUGAUUGUGCAUUUUGAGCAUUUAUCCAGUCCAAAUUCCAUACUAAUGUCUUUGAAAAACUUAUGGACAGUUUCUACGAGUUGACUGAGUCCUUUUUGUGUUGGCAGAGAUUUUCAAAUCAUCCAUGAACAGCAGAUGGUUCACAAGUUUCUGAUUUUUCCUUCCUCUGUCUCUCCUUAAGUCCUACCUGAUGUCUUGCUCCUUCAGGAUCUUGCUGA
Molecule: long non-coding RNA, 2855 nt
Organism: Thalassophryne amazonica
Lineage: Eukaryota; Metazoa; Chordata; Actinopteri; Batrachoidiformes; Batrachoididae
Exons: 3
Source: RefSeq, a predicted model, not a curated record